UGGAGCUUGCUCCGGCCGAUUAGUGGCGAACGGGUGAGUAACACGUGAGCAAUCUGCCCUUGACUCUGGGAUAACUGCGGGAAACUGUAGCUAAUACCGGAUACUUUCCUCGCUGGGCAUCCAGCGGGGAAGAAAGAAUUUCGGUCAAGGAUGAGCUCGCGGCCUAUCAGCUAGUUGGUGAGGUAAAGGCUCACCAAGGCGACGACGGGUAGCCGGCCUGAGAGGGUGACCGGCCACACUGGAACUGAGACACGGUCCAGACUCCUACGGGAGGCAGCAGUGGGGAAUAUUGCACAAUGGGCGAAAGCCUGAUGCAGCAACGCCGCGUGAGGGAUGAAGGCCUUCGGGUUGUAAACCUCUUUUAGCAGGGAAGAAGCGAAAGUGACGGUACCUGCAGAAAAAGCACCGGCUAACUACGUGCCAGCAGCCGCGGUAAUACGUAGGGUGCAAGCGUUGUCCGGAAUUAUUGGGCGUAAAGAGCUCGUAGGCGGUUUGUCACGUCUGCUGUGAAAAUCCGAGGCUCAACCUCGGACUUGCAGUGGGUACGGGCAGGCUAGAGUGCGGUAGGGGAGAAGGGAAUUCCUGGUGUAGCGGUGGAAUGCGCAGAUAUCAGGAGGAACACCAAUGGCGAAGGCACUUCUCUGGGCCGUAACUGACGCUGAGGAGCGAAAGCGUGGGGAGCGAACAGGAUUAGAUACCCUGGUAGUCCACGCCGUAAACGGUGGGUGCUAGCUGUGGGCCACAUUCCACGUGGUCCGUGACGAAGUUAACACAUU
This 776-nucleotide ribosomal RNA is filed under the name uncultured Actinomycetes bacterium. RNAcentral's name for it is "bacterial SSU rRNA". It matches the Rfam family "Bacterial small subunit ribosomal RNA", at positions 74 to 861 of the family's 1533-position model. The record is from RNAcentral. Lineage: Bacteria; Bacillati; Actinomycetota; Actinomycetes.